AACGAACGCUGGCGGCAUGCCUAACACAUGCAAGUCGAACGAGACCUUCGGGUCUAGUGGCGCACGGGUGCGUAACGCGUGGGAACCUGCCCUUAGGUUCGGAAUAACUCCCCGAAAGGGGUGCUAAUACCGGAUAAUGUCUUCGGACCAAAGAUUUAUCGCCUUUGGAUGGGCCCGCGUUGGAUUAGCUAGUUGGUAGGGUAAAAGCCUACCACGGCGACGAUCCAUAGCUGGUCUGAGAGGAUGAUCAGCCACACUGGGACUGAGACACGGCCCAGACUCUUACGCGAGGCAGCAGUGGGGAAUAUUGGACAAUGGGCGAAAGCCUGAUCCAGCAAUGCCGCGUGAGUGAUGAAGGCCUUAGGGUUGUAAAGCUCUUUUACCCGGGAUGAUAAUGACGGUACCGGGAGAAUAAGCCCCGGCUAACUACGUG
This 433-nucleotide ribosomal RNA is filed under the name uncultured bacterium. RNAcentral's name for it is "partial 16S ribosomal RNA". It matches the Rfam family "Bacterial small subunit ribosomal RNA", at positions 29 to 507 of the family's 1533-position model. The record is from RNAcentral.